RNAcentral lists this long non-coding RNA (1156 nucleotides) under Lathyrus oleraceus (garden pea). RNAcentral describes it as "Pisum sativum (pea) long non-coding RNA (PSAT_LNC010493)". The record is from RNAcentral. Lineage: Eukaryota; Viridiplantae; Streptophyta; Magnoliopsida; Fabales; Fabaceae.
AAUUUUCUGGGUUAAGACAGGUGUGGUGUUCAUGAGAAACAGCACCGUUUGGGCCUCAAGCCCAAACCAGAUUCAAAGCCACCCAACAAGAAAGGUGCAUAAACUAACACAAAAAGAACAAAAGGUAAAGACGAUUGUGCAAAAGCUGAAACCAAAUCACUCGCAGCCAACACGAACCACGCUAAAAUCGCUUAUCCAAAAAAUCUCAAGGCGGCGACGCGAUUCAUAUCUCUGGUUUCACAGAUCCCUACUUGUGCGUCUCAACAUCAUCAAUACGUUAUUGGCACAACAAUGUCGCGGCCGUGCAUUUGAAGAAGCCCUUGAUGCAGAAUGAUGAAAAAGAAGCCCCUGAAUUCUGAGGCCUAUGAGGUAAUAUAUAGGACUCUAAAAUUUGGUUAGAAAUGCAACUUAAAUGUAGCUCAAAUGUAGAUGAAAUUUAUUUGAAAUGCAUAGUCAGUUAGAAAUGUAAGAAUUCUGUUAGUUAGAAUUGUCAAAUGAGUUAGUUAGGUGUUAAAAAAAUUGUUUUUUGAAUGUUUAUUAUAAGUUAAUCUCUUUUAAAUCUAUGUUAGAUGAUGCGGUUAAGAGUUAGUUUGUUAGUGCAGCUAGUUAGAAAGAUGUUAAUGAAUGUUACUUGUUGUAUAUUUAGUUAGAUUGAAACAAAUUCUUCUGUUAAGUUAGUUAGUUGAAUGGCUUCCUUACUGUUAAGUGCAGUCAGUUGGUGUUUUAAUUAAAUUGAAUGUUAGACUAUUAACUAUUGGAUUGAAAGUUAAUUAUGAUUAAAUGUUAAAACUCAGUUAAUUGAAUUUUAUCAUAGCAGGGUGGUUAGUUGUAGGACCUGUUAUUUGGGUUUGUAAGAUUGUAAAGGGGAUUAUGCAGAAAAUUGUAUGUAAAAUUAGUUAUGAAUGAAAAUGUAUAUAGAAUUGAUUUGAAUGUUUUGGGGAAAAUUGAUUGAAUGUGUAUGGAUUGAAUAUUUGAAAAUUGUAUGGGAAUAGGAUGCUUAAUUUGGAUGAAUACUAUUGGACAGUGAAUGAAUGAAAUGUUUUGAUUAAAGAAAAGUUGAUUGUGUAUUGAAUAUGUAUUAUGGAAAAUGUUUGGAUGCAUUUGGAAAGUUAAUUUAAAUGUGGAAAGUGAAUUUGGAAUUGAAACUUGGUUUAAA